CCUACGGGAGGCAGCAGUGAGGAAUAUUGGUCAAUGGGCGAGAGCCUGAACCAGCCAAGUCGCGUGAGGGAGUACUGCCCUAUGGGUUGUAAACCUCUUUUGUCGGGGAGCAAAAGCCGGACGUGUCCGGCUGUGAGAGUACCCGAAGAAAAAGCAUCGGCUAACUCCGUGCCAGCAGCCGCGGUAAUACGGAGGAUGCGAGCGUUAUCCGGAUUUAUUGGGUUUAAAGGGUGCGCAGGCGGAUUUUUAAGUCAGCGGUAAAAUCGUGGGGCUCAACCCCAUCCAGCCGUUGAAACUGGGGAUCUAGAGUGGGCGAGAGGUAUGCGGAAUGCGUGGUGUAGCGGUGAAAUGCAUAGAUAUCACGCAGAACCCCGAUUGCGAAGGCAGCAUACCGGUGCACAACUGACGCUCAGGCACGAAAGCGUGGGUAUCGAACAGGAUUAGAUACCCUUGUAGUC
This 458-nucleotide ribosomal RNA is filed under the name uncultured bacterium. RNAcentral describes it as "partial 16S ribosomal RNA". It matches the Rfam family "Bacterial small subunit ribosomal RNA", at positions 338 to 795 of the family's 1533-position model. The record is from RNAcentral.